AGGUAAGCUACUAAGAGCGAAUGGUGGAUGCCUUGACUGGUAAAGGCGAUGAAGGACGUACUAGACUGCGAUAAGCUACGGGGAGCUGUCAAGAAGCUUUGAUCCGUAGAUUUCCGAAUGGGGCAACCCAAUGUAUAGAGAUAUACAUUACCUAUAUAGGAGCGAACGAGGGGAAUUGAAACAUCUUAGUACCCUCAGGAAAAGAAAUCAAUAGAGAUUGCGUCAGUAGCGGCGAGCGAAAGCGUAAGAGGGCAAACCCAGUGCUUGCACUGGGGGUUGUAGGACUGCAAUGUGCAAGAGGUGAGUUUAGCAGAACAUUCUGGAAAGUAUAGCCAUAGAGGGUGAUAGUCCCGUAUGCGAAAAACAAACCUUAGCUAGCAGUAUCCUGAGUAGGGCGGGACACGAGAAAUCCUGUCUGAAGCUGGGUCGACCACGAUCCAACCCUAAAUACUAAUACCAGAUCGAUAGUGCACAAGUACCGUGAGGGAAAGGUGAAAAGAACUGAGGUGAUCAGAGUGAAAUAGAACCUGAAACCAUUUGCUUACAAUCAUUCAGAGCACUAUGUAGCAAUACAGUGUGAUGGACUGCCUUUUGCAUAAUGAGCCUGCGAGUUGUGGUGUCUGGCAAGGUUAAGCAAACGCGAAGCCGUAGCGAAAGCGAGUCUGAAUAGGGCGCUUAGUCAGAUGCUGCAGACCCGAAACGAAGUGAUCUAUCCAUGAGCAAGUUGAAGCUAGUGUAAGAACUAGUGGAGGACUGAACCCAUAGGCGUUGAAAAGCCCCGGGAUGACUUGUGGAUAGGGGUGAAAGGCCAAUCAAACUUCGUGAUAGCUGGUUCUCUCCGAAAUAUAUUUAGGUAUAGCGUUGUGUCGUAAUAUAAGGGGGUAGAGCACUGAAUGGGCUAGGGCAUACACCAAUGUACCAAACCCUAUCAAACUCCGAAUACCUUAUAUGUAAUCACAGCAGUCAGGCGGCGAGUGAUAAAAUCCGUCGUCAAGAGGGAAACAACCCAGACUACCAGCUAAGGUCCCUAAAUCUUACUUAAGUGGAAAACGAUGUGAAGUUACUUAAACAACCAGGAGGUUGGCUUAGAAGCAGCCAUCCUUUAAAGAAAGCGUAAUAGCUCACUGGUCUAGUGAUUUUGCGCGGAAAAUAUAACGGGGCUAAAGU
RNAcentral lists this ribosomal RNA (1167 nucleotides) under Campylobacter coli. RNAcentral's name for it is "partial 23S ribosomal RNA". It matches the Rfam family "Bacterial large subunit ribosomal RNA", at positions 1 to 1188 of the family's 2925-position model. The record is from RNAcentral. Lineage: Bacteria; Pseudomonadati; Campylobacterota; Epsilonproteobacteria; Campylobacterales; Campylobacteraceae.